UACGGAGGGUUCGAGCGUUAUCCGGAUUUACUGGGUUUAAAGGGUGCGCAGGCGGCUAAUUAAGUCAGUGGUGAAAUCUUAAGGCUUAACCUUAAAACUGCCAUUGAUACUACUUAGCUUGAAUACUGUAGAGGACAGCGGAACAGGACAUGUAGCGGUGAAAUGCAUAGAUAUGUCCUGGAACACCGAUAGCGAAGGCAGCUGUCUUGACAGAGAUUGACGCUGAGGCACGAAAGCGUGGGUAGAGAAC
RNAcentral lists this ribosomal RNA (250 nucleotides) under uncultured bacterium. RNAcentral describes it as "partial 16S ribosomal RNA". It matches the Rfam family "Bacterial small subunit ribosomal RNA", at positions 524 to 773 of the family's 1533-position model. The record is from RNAcentral.